Molecule: microRNA precursor, 87 nt
Filed under: Pteropus vampyrus (large flying fox)
Lineage: Eukaryota; Metazoa; Chordata; Mammalia; Chiroptera; Pteropodidae
Source: RNAcentral
GUCUAUGGCCAUGCCACCCUGAACAAGCCUGAUCCCAUCUGAUCUCAGAAGCUAAGCAGGGUCGGGCCUGGUUAGUACUUGGAUGGG